Molecule: long non-coding RNA, 2503 nt
Filed under: Salmo salar (Atlantic salmon)
Lineage: Eukaryota; Metazoa; Chordata; Actinopteri; Salmoniformes; Salmonidae
Description: lncRNA (ENSSSAG00000090259.1, ENSSSAG00000105964.1)
Source: RNAcentral
CGCGAACUGCACGCUGCAGUCAGGGGCUUCUCAGCAAGUCGCAGCAAUGCAAAAUGUAGUGUGUGUGCGUUCACACGAAUGGGGGGAGAAUUUUGGCAGGGGAGAGAUUUUCGGCACAACACCGCCAAAUCGUACCAAUAUAUCCUUCAAACACCGGCGUCGAGGGCAUUAUCACUUUUAUACAACUCAAAUAAUGAUCGAAAUAUUUUCAUUCAAAACGUUAUUUUUUAUUAAUUUAUAAUUUCAUCCUUACACAAGAUAUAGUCCCGAGACCAAUCUAGGGUUGCUAACCAAGCCGGCUGGGCGUUCGUUCUAUUGGUUUGGUUGCCAGAGACGCGACCCAGUUGUUCAGUCUUUUUGUUCUGUAUCUAUGGGCACGACCCAGUCGUUCAUUCUAAAUGUUCCAUUGCCUUACUGGCUGGCAACGUCCUUAUCCCUUGCUUGCUAGCUAGCCAAUUUACAGUCACGUCAAACAGUGCAGACAGAAAAACAACAGUAGCUGCAUUUGUUUAAGCUGUUUUCUAGUGACAUUUAUUUGGAUUCAUCCAUAACAAUGAGCUAAUGUUAUGUGAGGCGCGAUUUCGUCAGGACACUUGUUCAGAGGAGCUAGCCAACACAAUCACUUCACAUUUUAACUGGAAAGACUGCAAACUACAGUAGCUGCACUUUUUUUCAAUUGCCAUUUUGUGAUGCCAGCUGAUUCAUGAUUUCGACUGGCUGAGAAACGCUGCCUGCCUGUCAAUCUCGUCCCGACUCGUUCAUUACUAUGGGACAGCUGUAGAUUGAAUUUGAAUAUUGAAACAAUAUUGCAAAUAUCGGAGAGACAGACAGCAAGGUUUAUACAAAUUGACUUCAGGGUGCAGUUCGCGGCCGGGCUCAAUGUGGGCGGAGUCAAACGUCGGGGCCGGGCUCAAUGUGGGCGGAGUCAAACGCGUUUAACCCAAAACCUUCCCGUCUCCUUCGAGGUCAAGCAAGUUGAGAAACAUUCCUCGGAUCUUGUCCCCUGGACCUUGGAGGACUUUUGUGGAUGAUGAUCAGGGCCUACCAAAGCAAGGUUUCUCAAACAACUGUGGGGUGUUUGUUUUGAUGUACAAUAAAUACAUGAUGAGCACUCAACACACUGCGCCUUGGUCUACUCCCUUCGACGGCCGUUACAGUGCAGAAAACAUGCAGCAAAUUAGGCGAUGUUGAUGCCUUAUUCUCCUGCAGAACUUUCCCAUGCCACGAUACUCAAAACAAAAUGCACGCCGAACUGGGAGCUGUGAACUGGGAAGCAGAUGUUCUUCUAAGGGACACCCUAGAGGCAGCAAGGUGAUGUGAACUCCAAACAUUUAAAGGCACUGUUUCCCUCCCUAGUGUAAUUGGGAUGGAAGGGGAAGACCGCAUUACAACCCUUAAAGAACUACAGUUGUAUGAUGGCCUGGAUGAAGAGAAAAAUGUUCUCCUCAAGGAACCAUUCAUGUUACAGAGAGAUUAUGAGUUGUUCUAUUUGGAGGCAGUUGACAACAAGAAAAUUACUGUCUUUGUCUCUUUUGAGGAGCAAAGCCAUUUUUGAGGAGUGGUUAAACUUUGUCUGCUGUGUUAAUUGUUUCAAUUGUUAAUUGUGUUGUUUAGUAAAGAUGACGUAGAAGUCAGCCGAGUCUGAUCUCUUUACUGGAGCUGGUAUAACUUAAUGUGCAAAGCACAUUCAGCUUGUCAGUAUAUCUAUAUGGUAUAGUCUGUCUCCAUUCUCAUGAGGAAAGUAAAUAACAUUAUAAAUCAGGAUGGGUAGUAACUGUGUGUAUAUAUGCUCAAUUAAAUAAUAUAAUUACAAAGUUAUAACAUUUAUCAACACAAUUUUAACAGUACAUAACAAGUCUGCUGUUCACUGCAACAAUUUCAGUAGUUUGUCUCAAAUAUAGUAUGACGCAAAAAGUGUUACAUCUGCUGGUACUUUAUAUAAUAUUUCUUACAAUCUUCAAAAAUGAAAUAUGUUUUUAUUCAACUUGUGCCUUGCGCAAAUGAGUGUUACUGUCAAACAUCAGAUGGACAAUAAAAAGGUGGGCAGGGUCAAAUGUGGGCAGAGUCAAACGUUUGACUCCGCCCACAUUGAACCCAGCCCCGAACUGCACACUGCAGUCAGGGGUACGUGGACUUGCUUGCUAGUUGAGAUUUCUGCUCUUCACUCCAUUGUCAGUUUAGCCUACAUUUCACUGAUCUUAGUAGCAGAAAGUAUUUUUUAUAUGUGUCCUUCAAGGCAGCUGUCAAUGAUCACGUUAGGCUGCGUUUCAUUUGAUUUGUUAUGGCGGUUUGAUCGCGGAGGAGGCACUAGUAAUGUCUGCAGUUUUCGGUUUGUCAUUUUGUUUCAAGUGUAUUAGUCUAUAAAUAAAUCUCUUUGCCAAAAUUCAUCUCUCCCAUGUCUUAUUCAACUAGUAGUUGUUCUGAAAUGUUUGCUUGCCUACAUUUUACUCGGUUUAAUACAACACACAUUAAGUCAGAGGCAAGACCAAGACUGGAGGGGGGA